GACGAACGCUGGCGGCGUGCUUAACACAUGCAAGUCAAGGGGGCCCAGUAGCAAUACUGGGCAACCGGCGAACGGGUGCGUAACACGUGAGCAACCUACCGAAAUGUGGGGGAUAGCCGGCCUAACGGCCGAGUAAUACCGCAUACGCUCUCGAUGAGGCAUUUCAUUGAGAGGAAACCUACGGGACAUUUCGAGGGGCUCGCGGCCUAUCAGCUAGUUGGCGAGGAACGGCUCACCAAGGCAACGACGGGUAGCUGGUCUGAGAGGAUGGCCAGCCACAUUGGGACUGAGACACGGCCCAGACUCCUACGGGAGGCAGCAGUAGGGAAUCUUGCACAAUGGACGAAAGUCUGAUGCAGCGACGCCGCGUGAGGGAUGACGGCCU
Molecule: ribosomal RNA, 385 nt
Filed under: uncultured bacterium
Lineage: Bacteria
Description: bacterial SSU rRNA
Rfam family: Bacterial small subunit ribosomal RNA
Source: RNAcentral